CGCGUAGGCGGCUUGACAAGUCCAAGGUGAAAUCCCUCGGCUCAACCGAGGAACUGCCUUGGAAACUGUCUGGCUCGAGGCCGGGAGAGGGUAGUGGAAUUCCCAGUGUAGCGGUGAAAUGCGUAGAUAUUGGGAGGAACACCGGUGGCGAAGGCGGCUACCUGGACCGGAUCUGACGCUGAUGCGCGAAAGCGUGGGGAGCAAACA
This 207-nucleotide ribosomal RNA is filed under the name uncultured bacterium. RNAcentral describes it as "partial 16S ribosomal RNA". It matches the Rfam family "Bacterial small subunit ribosomal RNA", at positions 568 to 774 of the family's 1533-position model. The record is from RNAcentral.